Molecule: long non-coding RNA, 876 nt
Organism: Oncorhynchus tshawytscha (Chinook salmon)
Lineage: Eukaryota; Metazoa; Chordata; Actinopteri; Salmoniformes; Salmonidae
Source: Ensembl
CUGGUAUUCAUAAGGGAGGAGGAGGCACUCACGGUGGAGUGGAGAGGCGGUGGCAGCUCUCAUUUGAAACAAUUUAUUUCGGUGGAAAGUGUGGAACUGCUGGAGGAGAACAGUGGGAAGUGAGACUUGUUUCCACAUGGCUUGUAACAUAGACGCCACGGAAGUAGCUCUGUGACUCACUGGGACAUCCAGCCAGUGAAGGACUGACCUCUAUCAAGACACCCAUGUCGACUGGAUUCCCACUGUGAAAGUCAGCAAUCCUGCAGCAGCAUCAGUCUCUACUUCUACUUCGUCCUUUUCCAGAUAUGAAAUGAGACAUCCCUCAGUUAGACAAAACGGUUGUCAAUCUGAAUGAUUCUGGUGUGCCAUACAUUUCACGACCUAGAUUACAUGGAUUGGAUUUGCACUAAACAAUUUUAUGCCAGCACAAGGUGUGUGGGAGGACAAGACAAAACAAAUGGAAAAUCAAAAAUGGAUCAAGGAUGGCUAGAAGACCGGCAACGCCGACCGCCAAAUGCCACCCGAACAAGGAGAGGAACCAACUUCGGCGGAAGUCGUGACAGGUCACAUACACAUGGUUAGCAAAUGUUGAUGCGAUUGUAGCGAAAUGCCUGUGCUUCUAGUUCCGACAGUGCAGUAAUUUCUAACAGGUAAUCUAACAGUUCCACAACAACUACCUUAUACACACAAGUGUAAAGGGAUGAAUAAGAAUAUGUACAUAUAAAUGUAUGGAUGAGCGAUGGCCGUGCGGCAUAGGCAAGAUGCAGUAGAUGGUAUAAAGUACAGUAUAUACAUAUGAGAUGAGUAAUGUAGGGUAUGUAUUCAUUUUAUAAAGUGGCAUUGUUUAAAUUGACUAGUGAUACAUUUAUUACAUCC